GCACAAGCGGUGGAUGAUGUGGUUUAAUUCGAUGCAACGCGAAAACCUUUACCCACCUUUGACAUGUACGGAAUCCUUUAGAGAUAGAGGAGUGCUCGAAAGAGAGCCGUAACACAGGUGCUGCAUGGCUGUCGUCAGCUCGUGUCGUGAGAUGUUGGGUUAAGUCCCGCAACGAGCGCAACCCUUAUCAUUAGUUGCUACGCAAGGGCACUCUAAUGAGACUGCCGGUGACAAACCGGAGGAAGGUGGGGAUGACGUCAAGUCCUCAUGGCCCUUAUGGGUAGGGCUUCACACGUCAUACAAUGGUCGGUACAGAGGGUUGCCAAGCCGCGAGGUGGAGCCAAUCCCAGAAAGCCGAUCGUAGUCCGGAUUGUUCUCUGCAACUCGAGAGCAUGAAGUCGGAAUCGCUAGUAAUCGCGGAUCAGCAUGUCGCGGUGAAUACGUUCCCGGGUCUU
This 455-nucleotide ribosomal RNA is filed under the name uncultured Variovorax sp. RNAcentral's name for it is "bacterial SSU rRNA". It matches the Rfam family "Bacterial small subunit ribosomal RNA", at positions 923 to 1382 of the family's 1533-position model. The record is from RNAcentral. Lineage: Bacteria; Pseudomonadati; Pseudomonadota; Betaproteobacteria; Burkholderiales; Comamonadaceae.